GAUGAACGCUGGCGGCGUGCUUAACACAUGCAAGUCGAACGGAAGGGCCCUGCUUUUGUGGGGCGCACGUGUGCGGAACGCGUGAGUAACACGCGUGUAACCUGUCCUUGACUGUGUGGUAACAUUUGGAGACUGGGGCGCAUACCGCAGAGAAGCUCCUGCUGCGUGUUGUUGGUUGGAAAGAGUCGGCGGUGGGGGCUGGACUCGGGGUGUAUUAGCUGGUUGGGAAGGUAGUGGCUUACCAAGGCUGCGACGGGUAGCCGACCUGAGAGGGUGAUCGGCCGCCCGGGAGCUGAGACACGGUCCAGGCUCCUACGGGAGGCAGCAGUAGGGAAUCUUCCGCAAUGGGCGAAAGCCUGACGGAGCAACGCCGCGUGAGUGAUGAAGGUCUUCGGAUCGUAAAACUCUGUUAUUAGGGAAGAACAUAUGUGGAAGUAACUGUGCACAUCUUGACGGUACCUAAUCAGAAAGCAACGGCUAACUACGUG
Molecule: ribosomal RNA, 488 nt
Filed under: uncultured bacterium
Lineage: Bacteria
Description: partial 16S ribosomal RNA
Rfam family: Bacterial small subunit ribosomal RNA
Source: RNAcentral